Molecule: ribosomal RNA, 497 nt
Filed under: uncultured bacterium
Lineage: Bacteria
Description: partial 16S ribosomal RNA
Rfam family: Bacterial small subunit ribosomal RNA
Source: RNAcentral
GAUGAACGCUGGCGGCGUGCCUAACACAUGCAAGUCGAGCGAACGGACGAGAAGCUUGCUUUUCUGAUGUUAGCGGCGGACGGGUGAGUAACACGUGGAUAACCUACCUAUAAGACUGGGAUAACUUCGGGAAACCGGAGCUAAUACCGGAUAAUAUUUUGAACCGCAUGGUUCAAAAGUGAAAGACGGUCUUGCUGUAACUUAUAGAUGGAUCCGCGCUGCAUUAGCUAGUUGGUAAGGUAACGGCUUAUCAAGGCAACGAUGCAUAGCCGACCUGAGAGGGUGGUAGGCCACACGGGAAGUGAGACGCGGUCCAGACUCCUACGGGAGGCAGCAGUAGGGAAUCUUCCGCAAUGGGCGAGAGCCUGACGGAGCAACGCCGCGUGAGUGAUGAAGGUCUUCGGAUCGUAAAGCUCUGUUAUUAGGGGAGAACAUAUGUGUAAGUAACUGUGCACAUCUUGACGGUACCUAAUCAGAAAGCCACGGCUAACUACGUG